Molecule: ribosomal RNA, 427 nt
Filed under: uncultured bacterium
Lineage: Bacteria
Description: bacterial SSU rRNA
Rfam family: Bacterial small subunit ribosomal RNA
Source: RNAcentral
UGAGGAAUAUUGGACAAUGGGCGCAAGCCUGAUCCAGCAAUGCCGCGUGCAGGAUGAAGGCCUUCGGGUUGUAAACUGCUUUUGUACGGAGCGAAAAGGUCUGCCCUAAUACGGUGGGCUCAUGACGGUACCGUAAGAAUAAGCACCGGCUAACUACGUGCCAGCAGCCGCGGUAAUACGUAGGGUGCGAGCGUUAAUCGGAAUUACUGGGCGUAAAGCGUGCGCAGGCAGUUAUAUAAGACAGAUGUGAAAUCCCCGGGCUCAACCUGGGACCUGCAUUUGUGACUGUAUAGCUAGAGUACGGUAGAGGGGGAUGGAAUUCCGCGUGUAGCAGUGAAAUGCGUAGAUAUGCGGAGGAACACCGAUGGCGAAGGCAAUCCCCUGGACCUGUACUGACGCUCAUGCACGAAAGCGUGGGGAGCAAACA